RNAcentral lists this transfer RNA (71 nucleotides) under Ictidomys tridecemlineatus (thirteen-lined ground squirrel). RNAcentral describes it as "Spermophilus tridecemlineatus (thirteen-lined ground squirrel) tRNA". It matches the Rfam family "tRNA". From Rfam's summary of the family: Transfer RNA (tRNA) molecules are approximately 80 nucleotides in length. Their secondary structure includes four short double-helical elements and three loops (D, anti-codon, and T loops). Further hydrogen bonds mediate the characteristic L-shaped molecular structure. tRNAs have two regions of fundamental functional importance: the anti-codon, which is responsible for specific mRNA codon recognition, and the 3' end, to which the tRNAs corresponding amino acid is attached (by aminoacyl-tRNA synthetases). tRNAs cope with the degeneracy of the genetic code in two manners: having more than one tRNA (with a specific anti-codon) for a particular amino acid; and 'wobble' base-pairing, i.e. permitting non-standard base-pairing at the 3rd anti-codon position. The record is from Rfam by way of RNAcentral. Lineage: Eukaryota; Metazoa; Chordata; Mammalia; Rodentia; Sciuridae.
UGGGGUGUAGCUCAGUGGUAGAGCACUUGCCUAGCAUGUGUGAGGCCCUGGGUUUGAUCCUCACACCACAU